UACAGAGGGUGCAAGCGUUGUUCGGAAUUAUUGGGCGUAAAGCGCGUGUAGGCGGCCCUGCAAGUCGGAUGUGAAAUCCCACGGCUCAACCGUGGAAGUGCAUUCGAAACUGCAGGGCUAGAGUCCUGGAGAGGAAGGUGGAAUGCUUGGUGUAGAGGUGAAAUUCGUAGAUAUCAAGCGGAACACCGGUGGCGAAGGCGGCCUUCUGGACAGUGACUGACGCUGAGACGCGAAAGCGUGGGGAGCAAACAGG
This 253-nucleotide ribosomal RNA is filed under the name uncultured bacterium. Its description in RNAcentral is "partial 16S ribosomal RNA". It matches the Rfam family "Bacterial small subunit ribosomal RNA", at positions 524 to 776 of the family's 1533-position model. The record is from RNAcentral.